UUUGCUUUUUUCAACUGGUCUCAUUCUCGAGACCGUAAUCCCGUGUGGGCUCAGUUGGGAUAGGUGAGUCUAGGAGGGUCUCACUUGCACAUUUGAAGUAUCAUUUGCAAUUCUGGGAGUGACUGGGACAGCUCACUUCUCUUUUUCACACGGUCUUCCAUUCGGGUCUUUUUUACAGCAUACUAACUACUGAGUUCCAAGAAAAUGGGAGCAGGAGUCACAAGGCCCCUUGAAGCUGAGGCUCAGAAGCCUGCACAGAGACACAGCCAUUGCAGUGUUUAAACCAAAGCCAGUCACUUGGCCAGCCCAGAGCAGAAACCGCUCUGGAGCAAAGCUUGUGUCAGCAGAUCUGAACACGAAGGAUGGAGUCUUGCUCUGUCACCCAGGCUGGAGUGCAGUGGCGCGAGCUCAGCUCACUGCAACUCCGUCUCCCAAGUUCAAGUGAUUCUCCUGCCUCAGCCUCCCGAGUAGCUGGGAUUACAUGCACCUGCCACCACACUCAGACGGAGUCUUGCUUUGUCAUCCAGGCUGGAGUAUAAUGAUGGAAUCUCGGCUCACUGCAACCUCUGCCUGCCUCCCAGGUUCAAGCAAUUACCAGGCCUCAGCCUCCUGAGUAGCUGACAGGUGCACACCGUGCCUGGCUAAUUUUUUUGUAUUUUUAGUAGAGAUGGGGUUUCACCAUGUUGACCAGGCUGGUCUUGAACUCCUGACCUCAAGUGAUCUGCCCACCUCGGCCUCCCAAAGUGCAGGGACUACAGGUGUGAGCCACUGUGCCUGGUCAUUAUUCUAAUCUUCAUUACCAUGCAUUUGUUUGCUUGCUAACUUUAUAUAAAUAAAAUCAUACAGUAUAUACUUUUGGAGUCUGGGUUUUCUCCUAAUAUAAUAUUCUUGACCCAAGUGUUAUUUAAUAACGUGUGUUUUAAUUUCUAGGUGAAAAGUCCUUUUUGGUUUUUGAUCUUGUUAAUUUUUGCAUUUUAGUCAAAGAAUAUUAUGUAUAUUAUUUCCUCUUCUUUUUUUAAAACAACCAAGUAAUCAAGUUUUAGUUAGUAUCAGCAGCAUGUUUGCCAUUUUCCAGUGCUUCUCAUCCCUUCAUGCAUUACCAUACUUCCAUCUGAAAUAAUUUCUAUUUUGCCAAAAGAACUUAAUUUGGUAUUUCUUUUAGUUUAGACUUGCUGACUAUGAAUUCUCUUAGGUUUUGUUUGUCUGAAAUCAUUUUUAUUUUACCUUCUUUCUAGAAGAUUAUU
This 1244-nucleotide long non-coding RNA is filed under the name Papio anubis (olive baboon). RNAcentral describes it as "lncRNA (ENSPANG00000047054.1)". The record is from RNAcentral. Lineage: Eukaryota; Metazoa; Chordata; Mammalia; Primates; Cercopithecidae.